This 127-nucleotide small RNA is filed under the name Marmota monax (woodchuck). Lineage: Eukaryota; Metazoa; Chordata; Mammalia; Rodentia; Sciuridae. The record is from RNAcentral.
GCCAGGUGUGAUAGCGCACACCUGUAAUUCCAGUGGCUUAGGAGGCUGAGGCAGGAGGAUUGCAAGUUCAAAGCCAGCCUCAGCAAUUUAGUGAGGCCCUAAGCAACUUAGGGCGACCCUGUCUCUA